UACAGACGGUAAAAAUAACCGCAGACAGUAGGGAGCAAUUGCUUUAAUAAUCCUACCGAGGUAUAAGAAUAUCGGAUUUAAAUAUUAUUUCGAUUUUUUGUAAUCUCAUCUGGUCUGCGAUGAGAUUUUUUAUAUAUUCAG
Anaerosphaera aminiphila DSM 21120 is the source of this 141-nucleotide regulatory RNA element. It matches the Rfam family "Ribosomal protein L10 leader". Rfam says of the family: This family is a putative r-protein leader autoregulatory structure found in B. subtilis and other low-GC Gram-positive bacteria. It is located in the 5' untranslated regions of mRNAs encoding ribosomal proteins L10 and L12 (rplJ-rplL). The record is from Rfam. NCBI's taxonomy places the organism in Bacteria, Bacillati, Bacillota, Tissierellia, Tissierellales, Peptoniphilaceae.